GCACAGGUGAACGAUCGGCGAACCGUCGUCUACGGCAAGGAUGACACUAUCCAAGAUUGUUGCUUCUCGCAUCGCCGUUUUAAUAAUACUCGCUGUUUUCCUAAGAUUCACGUUUGGAGGUAAACUGAGUCAAACAACGGAGCCAGUGAAAGGAUGCCCCAUCGUGAAAGGAGAUUUCACUUUUCCGCCGCGCAAUACGUCUCUACUGGGACAAUAUUGCGCAUUAGGCAACGGCGAGAAAAUCCAAAAUACGAGAGAAACGGACCCUCGCUGGAUUGGAUCGCUCACCUUUAAUGGCACUUGUCAUGUUUGCUGCGCUCGUGGAGGUGCCUUUACAAACACAACCUAUUCCGUGAUUAAUAAGCUUCCCAAAAAGAUAUGCAAAAAACGAAAAUCAGCG
RNAcentral lists this long non-coding RNA (400 nucleotides) under Dermacentor andersoni. Its description in RNAcentral is "uncharacterized LOC126545032". The record is from RNAcentral. Lineage: Eukaryota; Metazoa; Arthropoda; Arachnida; Ixodida; Ixodidae.